RNAcentral lists this ribosomal RNA (210 nucleotides) under uncultured fungus. Its description in RNAcentral is "partial 18S ribosomal RNA". It matches the Rfam family "Eukaryotic small subunit ribosomal RNA", at positions 684 to 887 of the family's 1831-position model. Lineage: Eukaryota; Fungi. The record is from RNAcentral.
ACGUACUGGUGUUACUGGUUCCUACCUUCUGACGAACCAUCAUGUCAUUAAUUUGGUGUGGCGGGGAAUCAGGACUGUUACUUUGAAAAAAUUAGAGUGUUUAAAGCAGGCUCGCGCUUGAAUACAUUAGCAUGGAAUAAUGAAAUAGGACGUUGACCCUAUUUUGUUGGUUUCUAGGAUUGACGUAAUGAUUAAUAGGGAUAGUUGGGA